This 835-nucleotide ribosomal RNA is filed under the name Brevundimonas terrae. RNAcentral's name for it is "bacterial SSU rRNA". It matches the Rfam family "Bacterial small subunit ribosomal RNA", at positions 551 to 1389 of the family's 1533-position model. The record is from RNAcentral. Lineage: Bacteria; Pseudomonadati; Pseudomonadota; Alphaproteobacteria; Caulobacterales; Caulobacteraceae.
UUACUGGGCGUAAAGGGCGCGUAGGCGGAUCGCUAACCCAGAGGUGAAAUCUCGGAGCUCAACUUCGGAAUUGCCUUUGAUAUUGGCAGAUCUCCGAGUGUGAAGAGAGGUAUGUGAAACUUCCGAGGGUAGAGAUGAAAUUUGGUAGAUAUUCGGAAAGAACACCGAGGGGCGAAGGAGACAUAUUGGUUCAUUACUGACGCUGAGGCGCGAGAAAGCGGCGGGGGAGCAAACAGGAUUUAGAUACCCCUGUUAGUCCACGCCGUAAACGAUGAUUUGCUAGUUGUUGGGCUCCAUGCAGUUCGGGUGACGCAGCUUAUGCCAUUAACGAAUCCGCCUGGGUGAAGUACGGGUCGCAAGAUUAAAACUCAAAGGAAUUUGCACGGGGGCCCGCACAAGCGGUGGAGCACGUGGUUUAAUUUGAAGCAACGCGCAGAACCUUACCACCUUUUGACAUGCCUGGACCGCCAAGGAGACGUGGCUUUCCCUUCGGGGAUUAGGACACAGGUGCUGCAUGGCUGUUGUCAGCUCGUGUCGUGAGAUGUUGGGUUAAGUCCCGCAACGAGCGCAACCCUCGCCAUUAGUUGCCAUCAUUUAGUUGGGAACUCUAAUGGGACUGCCGGUGCUAAGCCGGAGGAAGGUGGGGAUGACGUCAAGUCCUCAUGGCCCUUACAGGGUGGGCUACACACGUGCUACAAUGGCAACUACAGAGGGUUAAUCCUUAAAAGUUAUCUCAGUUCGGAUUGUCCUCUGCAACUCGAGGGCAUGAAGUUGGAAUCGCUAGUAAUCGCGGAUCAGCAUGUUGCGGUGAAUACGUUCCCGGGCCUUGUACACA